GAUGAACGCUGGCGGCGUGCCUAACACAUGCAAGUCGAACGAAGCACCUUACCUGAUUCUUCGGAUGAAAGUUUGGUGACUGAGUGGCGGACGGGUGAGUAACGCGUGGGUAACCUGCCCUGUACAGGGGGAUAACAGCUGGAAACGGCUGCUAAUACCGCAUAAGCGCACGAGGAGACAUCUCCUUGUGUGAAAAACUCCGGUGGUACAGGAUGGGCCCGCGUCUGAUUAGCUGGUUGGCAGGGUAACGGCCUACCAAGGCAACGAUCAGUAGCCGGUCUGAGAGGAGGAACGGCCACAUUGGAACUGAGACACGGUCCAAACUCCUACGGGAGGCAGCAGUGGGGAAUAUUGCACAAUGGGGGAAACCCUGAUGCAGCAACGCCGCGUGAGUGAAGAAGUAUUUCGGUAUGUAAAGCUCUAUCAGCAGGGAAGAUAAUGACGGUACCUGACUAAGAAGCUCCGGCUAAAUACGUG
Molecule: ribosomal RNA, 477 nt
Filed under: uncultured bacterium
Lineage: Bacteria
Description: partial 16S ribosomal RNA
Rfam family: Bacterial small subunit ribosomal RNA
Source: RNAcentral